Molecule: non-coding RNA, 21 nt
Filed under: Rattus norvegicus (Norway rat)
Lineage: Eukaryota; Metazoa; Chordata; Mammalia; Rodentia; Muridae
Source: RNAcentral
UCAACUUUUUGCCAAGGAAGC